RNAcentral lists this transfer RNA (76 nucleotides) under Immundisolibacter cernigliae. Its description in RNAcentral is "tRNA-Phe". It matches the Rfam family "tRNA". Rfam says of the family: Transfer RNA (tRNA) molecules are approximately 80 nucleotides in length. Lineage: Bacteria; Pseudomonadati; Pseudomonadota; Gammaproteobacteria; Immundisolibacterales; Immundisolibacteraceae. RNAcentral also lists the same sequence under 5 other names. The record is from RNAcentral.
GGCCAGGUAGCUCAGUCGGUAGAGCAGUGGACUGAAAAUCCACGUGUCGGUGGUUCGAUUCCGCCCCUGGCCACCA